This 253-nucleotide ribosomal RNA is filed under the name uncultured bacterium. RNAcentral describes it as "partial 16S ribosomal RNA". It matches the Rfam family "Bacterial small subunit ribosomal RNA", at positions 524 to 776 of the family's 1533-position model. The record is from RNAcentral.
UACAGAGGGUGCAAGCGUUAAUCGGAAUUACUGGGCGUAAAGCGAGCGUAGGUGGCUUGAUAAGUCAGAUGUGAAAUCCCCGGGCUUAACCUGGGAACUGCAUCUGAAACUGUUAGGCUAGAGUAGGUGAGAGGGAGGUAGAAUUUCAGGUGUAGCGGUGAAAUGCGUAGAGAUCUGAAGGAAUACCGAUGGCGAAGGCAGCCUCCUGGCAUCAUACUGACACUGAGGCUCGAAAGCGUGGGUAGCAAACAGG